RNAcentral lists this long non-coding RNA (325 nucleotides) under Olea europaea subsp. europaea. Lineage: Eukaryota; Viridiplantae; Streptophyta; Magnoliopsida; Lamiales; Oleaceae. The record is from RNAcentral.
CUACUCGCUACGAGGGGAUCUUUUUUUUCUGUUUUAAGAAAAAGAAAAUCUUAUGGAUCAUUUACAUUUCAAUUUGAAUUAGGGAUUCCGUGUACAACUAUAAGUGGUCCUUAACUACAUAUCUAUCUGAUCAUAUAUGCUUUAUCUUUAUGUAUUACAAUAAAUAAAAGAAGGAGGGUUUAAUGAAUCUUCCACUUACUUGAUGGGUUGGCUAAGAGAUUAUUUAUGGUUAUACUCUUCACAACUUAUCAAUGGAUAUAAUCCUUUUGGUACGAAUAGUUUAUCGGUCUGGCAUGGAUGUUCUUAUUUGGACAUCUUGUUUGGG